AUCUGGGAUAAGCCGAGGAAACUUGGUCUAAUACCGGAUGCCUUCAUCUGAUCGCAUGGUCGGAUGAAGAAAAGAUUCAUCGCUUCGGGAGGGUCUCGCGGCCUAUCAACUAGUUGGCGGGGUAACGGCCCACCAAGGCGUCGACGGGUAGCUGGUCUGAGAGGACGAUCAGCCACACUGGGACUGAGACACGGCCCAGACUCCUACGGGAGGCAGCAGUGGGGAAUAUUGCGCAAUGGGCGAAAGCCUGACGCAGCAACGCCGCGUGCGGGAUGAAGGCCUUCGGGUUGUAAACCGCUUUCAGUGGGGACGAAAUUGACGGUACCCACAGAAGAAGCCCCGGCCAACUACGUGCCAGCAGCCGCGGUAACACGUAGGGGGCGAGCGUUGUCCGGAUUUAUUGGGCGUAAAGAGCUCGUAGGCGGCUCGGUAAGUCGGGUGUGAAAACUCUAGGCUCAACCUAGAGACGCCACCUGAUAUUGCUGUGGCUAGAGUCCGGUAGGGGAGCAUGGAAUUCCUGGUGUAGCGGUGAAAUGCGCAGAUAUCAGGAGGAACACCAGUGGCGAAGGCGGUGCUCUGGGCCGGUACUGACGAUGAGGAGCGAAAGCAUGGGGAGCAAACAGGAUUAGAUACCCUGGUAGUUCACGCCGUAAACGUUGGGAACUAGGUGUGGGGCCUUAUCAACGGGUUCCGUGCCGAACGCUAACGCAUUAAGUUCCCCGCCUGGGGAGUACGGCCCGCAAGGCUAAACUCAAA
This 756-nucleotide ribosomal RNA is filed under the name uncultured bacterium. RNAcentral's name for it is "bacterial SSU rRNA". It matches the Rfam family "Bacterial small subunit ribosomal RNA", at positions 136 to 905 of the family's 1533-position model. The record is from RNAcentral.